Schistocerca americana (American grasshopper) is the source of this 106-nucleotide small nuclear RNA. NCBI's taxonomy places the organism in Eukaryota, Metazoa, Arthropoda, Insecta, Orthoptera, Acrididae. The record is from RefSeq and is a predicted model, not a curated record.
AUUCGCUUCGGCUGUAAAUAUAAUGAAACUGGAACGAUACAGAGAACAUUAGCAUGGUCCUAUGCUCAGAGAUGACACGCAAAAUCGUGAGGAUUCCACAUUUGUA